This 200-nucleotide ribosomal RNA is filed under the name uncultured Entrophospora. RNAcentral's name for it is "uncultured Claroideoglomus partial small subunit ribosomal RNA". It matches the Rfam family "Eukaryotic small subunit ribosomal RNA", at positions 591 to 789 of the family's 1831-position model. Lineage: Eukaryota; Fungi; Glomeromycota; Glomeromycetes; Entrophosporales; Entrophosporaceae. The record is from RNAcentral.
CCAAUAGCGUAUAUUAAAGUUGUUGCAGUUAAAAAGCUCGUAGUUGAAUUUCGGGAUUGACGUGAUGGUCGUGCCUUAAGGGGUAUGAACUGUCGCAGUUGAUUUCUCACCUUCUGGAGAAGCUUGAUGUCCUUAAUUGGGUGUCAUGUGGAACCAGGACCUUUACCUUGAAAAAAUUAGAGUGUUUAAAGCAGGCAUUU